This 268-nucleotide ribosomal RNA is filed under the name uncultured bacterium. RNAcentral describes it as "partial 16S ribosomal RNA". It matches the Rfam family "Bacterial small subunit ribosomal RNA", at positions 793 to 1055 of the family's 1533-position model. The record is from RNAcentral.
GUCCACGCCGUAAACGAUGGAAGCUAGCCGUUGGCAAGUUUACUUGUCGGUGGCGCAGCUAACGCAUUAAGCUUCCCGCCUGGGGAGUACGGUCGCAAGAUUAAACUCAAAGGAAUUGACGGGGCCCGCACAAGCGGUGGAGCAUGUGGUUUAAUUCGAAGCAACGCGCAGAACCUUACCAGCCCCUUGACAUCCCCGGUCGCGGUUUUCCAGAGAUGGAAACCUUUCAGUUCGGCUGGACCGGUGACAGGUGCUGCAUGGCUGUCGU